This 163-nucleotide ribosomal RNA is filed under the name Stenotrophomonas sp. CC120222-04. RNAcentral describes it as "partial 16S rRNA. Bacterial SSU". It matches the Rfam family "Bacterial small subunit ribosomal RNA", at positions 19 to 175 of the family's 1533-position model. Lineage: Bacteria; Pseudomonadati; Pseudomonadota; Gammaproteobacteria; Lysobacterales; Lysobacteraceae. The record is from RNAcentral.
CUGGCUCAGAGUGAACGCUGGCGGUAGGCCUAACACAUGCAAGUCGAACGGCAGCACAGGAGAGCUUGCUCUCUGGGUGGCGAGUGGCGGACGGGUGAGGAAUACAUCGGAAUCUACUCUGUCGUGGGGGAUAACGUAGGGAAACUUACGCUAAUACCGCAUA